Long non-coding RNA from Drosophila simulans, 982 nucleotides. RefSeq lists it as uncharacterized. Lineage: Eukaryota; Metazoa; Arthropoda; Insecta; Diptera; Drosophilidae. The record is from RefSeq and is a predicted model, not a curated record. The transcript is spliced from 4 exons.
GAAUUUAGAGUUUAACAUUGCAUGGGGUGAGUUUGGGGCUUGGACAUAGAUUAGUAUUUAAUGUUAAGUUAGUAUUUUUUAUGAAGGCUUUAGAUUAUAGACAGAGACAUGGACUGGUAACAUUAUCGUCUUGCAUGUUUUGUUUACAUUAAUAAAUUGUAGCGAUUUUACAGAAAACAUAGAAAUUUAGGACUAACAUUGUGUAAUUUAUUUCUUUUCAGGUACCCCCGCCAGAAGGACGGAAGCAUAGAGUCGCUGAGGAGCCUAAAUAGCCAUUACAGGUGAGUUUUUGUUGUGUGUUGGCUGUGGACUGUUGUGGCCGCAGGGAGUGGGCCACUUGCAACAAGUAUGUCCGGCUGGAGUUGCAGGUGAGUUAUUCUUGGUGGCAGCAUCCAGCGCCGCCGUCAUUUGGUGAAGAUCCGUUAUGUCGUCAGUGGCAGAUUUAUGCAAUUGUUUAAUGAGAUUGUUUGUGUUGCAGAUGCAAGUUGCCGAUCGUCAGGAAGAGGAGUUGCGCAGACAAAUCCCACGCAGCUGUCGUUGCAUUUUUAUUGAGCUGCUGGCGUUAUGGUGGUGGAGUGCUCUCUAGUGAGAAGUCGUCAGUGCGGAUUGAAGCUCGAUCUAUCACCGAGGAGAGCCAGGUGCGCCGCGUCUUGUGGCCGUAGCAUCAGGAUUGGCAGCUAGUGGCCGCCGGUUCGAGAUUUGUUGCAGAGGGCGGCCGCAACAAGAAUGGCAUGGAAAUGGAUGUAAAAAUAGAAUUUGGUACAUUGAGUGGAAUUUAAUUUAAGGUACUUAAGGAGGAAGCUAGUCUGGGGUACAUUUUGUAAGAGCUAGUUUGGAGGACCUUUGUUAUUGUGCUAUUGCAGCUGGAAUGCCGCGGUUUUGGAGUCAUCAAGUUGCAAUUAGAUAAGUAUUAUAUUUUAAAUAUAUAUUUCCCAGUAAUAGCUUGUGUUCCCUUGUUUAAAUAGUUAGAGUCUUUGAAGCU